CGGUGUUUCUGGAUGAGAUUUACAUUUCAGUCAGUGCACUGAGGAAAGCAGACUGCCCUCCCUGGGGGGAUGGGCCUCAUCCAAUCCAUUGAAGGCCUGAAAAGAACAAAAAGGCUGACCCUCUCACAGGUAAGAGGGAACUCCUCCUGCCUGACUACCUUCAAGCUGCAACAUUGAACAGUGCUUUCUUGCCUUCUGACCCAAACUGAAACAUCAGCCCUUGCUGGGUCUCAAGCCUACCAACCUUCAGACUCGAAUGACACCUUCGGCUCUCCCGGGUCUCCAGCCUGCUGACUGCAGAUCUCAGGACUUGUCAGCCUCCACCAGCAGAACACAAACCAGAGGUUGGAGGUGGAGCAGCCACUUUGAGGCCAUGAGGCAGCAAGCAUGAGGACACAGCCAACACGCUAAGAAUGGGAAAAGGAAGAGAUACAGUCAGGGCCCCUGCUGGGCGCCUUUGCAAUAACCCUGGCCUGUCUACUCUAGACUUCUGGGACCAUAAAGUCGUGUGACUUGCAGCUGGAGAGGACACUGCCGCCAUCCCAUUCAAACUCCUCUUGUCAGUAGGGUGCCUCAUGACCUUGGACAAGUCACCUCUCUGUGCCUCAGUUUCCUCAACCGGAAGCUUCUUUCCAUGAGAGAAAAAAAGGAUUCAUCAAAAAGCCAGCACAGAAGAGUUUGAGGAAAGCCGAAGAGGAAGAGAAAGAAACAGUGCCGGUUCUGUGCCCCAGAAAGCUCCUGGCUUCCGGAAGCUCAGGUGGAGUC
Molecule: non-coding RNA, 765 nt
Organism: Equus caballus (horse)
Lineage: Eukaryota; Metazoa; Chordata; Mammalia; Perissodactyla; Equidae
Source: RefSeq, a predicted model, not a curated record